GGGGAAUAUUGGACAAUGGGGGGAACCCUGAUCCAGCCAUGCCGCGUGUGUGAAGAAGGCCUUUUGGUUGUAAAGCACUUUAAGCGAGGAGGAGGCUCUCUUGGUUAAUACCUGAGAAGAGUGGACGUUACUCGCAGAAUAAGCACCGGCUAACUCUGUGCCAGCAGCCGCGGUAAUACAGAGGGUGCGAGCGUUAAUCGGAUUUACUGGGCGUAAAGCGCGCGUAGGUGGCUAAUUAAGUCAAAUGUGAAAUCCCCGAGCUUAACUUGGGAAUUGCAUUCGAUACUGGUUGGCUAGAGUAUGGGAGAGGAUGGUAGAAUUCCAGGUGUAGCGGUGAAAUGCGUAGAGAUCUGGAGGAAUACCGAUGGCGAAGGCAGCCAUCUGGCCUAAUACUGACACUGAGGUGCGAAAGCAUGGGGAGCAAAC
RNAcentral lists this ribosomal RNA (426 nucleotides) under uncultured bacterium. Its description in RNAcentral is "bacterial SSU rRNA". It matches the Rfam family "Bacterial small subunit ribosomal RNA", at positions 356 to 773 of the family's 1533-position model. The record is from RNAcentral.